UGCGGUGAUGAUAGCGCCGGGGCGCACCUCUUCCCAUUCCGAACAGAGAAGUUAAGCCCGGCCGCGCUGAUGGUACUGCCCCCACGGGUGGGAGAGUAAGUCGUCGCCCAAU
This 112-nucleotide ribosomal RNA is filed under the name Bacteroidales bacterium OttesenSCG-928-E04. Lineage: Bacteria; Pseudomonadati; Bacteroidota; Bacteroidia; Bacteroidales. RNAcentral also lists the same sequence under 3 other names. The record is from RNAcentral.